AGCGAACGCUGGCGGCAGGCCUAACACAUGCGAGUCGAACGAACCUUUCGGGGUUAGUGGCGGACGGGUGAGUAACACGUGGGAACGUGCCUUUAAGUUCGGAAUAACUCAGGGAAACUUGUGCUAAUACCGAAUGUGCCCUUCGGGGGAAAGAUUAAUCGCCUUUAGAGCGGCCCGCGUCUGAUUAGCUAGUUGGUUGAGGUAAUGGCUCACCAAGGCGACGAUCAGUAGCUGGUCUGAGAGGAUGAUCAGCCACAUUGGGACUGAGACACGGCCCAAACUCCUACGGAAGGCAGCAGUGGGGAAUCUAGCGAAAUGGGCGGAAGCCUGACGCAGCCAUGCCGCGUGAAUGAUGAAGGUCUUGGGAUUGUAAAAUUCUUUCAACGGGGACGAUAAUGACGGUACCCGGAGAAGAAGCCCCGGCUAACUUCGUG
This 434-nucleotide ribosomal RNA is filed under the name uncultured bacterium. RNAcentral's name for it is "partial 16S ribosomal RNA". It matches the Rfam family "Bacterial small subunit ribosomal RNA", at positions 29 to 507 of the family's 1533-position model. The record is from RNAcentral.